CUCCGCGCCCUAGGCGCGGAGCUUUUUUCCGACAGUAAAAGGGGUCUGCCCGUG
Pantoea ananatis PA13 is the source of this 54-nucleotide non-coding RNA. The record is from Rfam. NCBI's taxonomy places the organism in Bacteria, Pseudomonadati, Pseudomonadota, Gammaproteobacteria, Enterobacterales, Erwiniaceae.